AGUGAACGCUGGCGGUAGGCCUAACACAUGCAAGUCGAACGGCAGCACAGUAAGAGCUUGCUCUUACGGGUGGCGAGUGGCGGACGGGUGAGGAAUACAUCGGAAUCUACUUUUUCGUGGGGGAUAACGUAGGGAAACUUACGCUAAUACCGCAUACGACCUACGGGUGAAAGCAGGGGAUCUUUGGACCUUGCGCGAUUGAAUGAGCCGAUGUCGGAUUAGCUAGUUGGCGGGGUAAAGGCCCACCAAGGCGACGAUCCGUAGCUGGUCUGCGAGGAUGAUCAGCCACACUGGAACUGAGACACGGUCCAGACUCCUACGGGAGGCAGCAGUGGGGAAUAUUGGACAAUGGGCGCAAGCCUGAUCCAGCCAUACCGCGUGGGUGAAGAAGGCCUUCGGGUUGUAAAGCCCUUUUGUUGGGAAAGAAAAGCAGCAGGUUAAUACCCCACUGUUCUGACGGUACCCAAAGAAUAAGCACCGGCUAACUUCGUG
This 492-nucleotide ribosomal RNA is filed under the name uncultured bacterium. Its description in RNAcentral is "partial 16S ribosomal RNA". It matches the Rfam family "Bacterial small subunit ribosomal RNA", at positions 29 to 507 of the family's 1533-position model. The record is from RNAcentral.